Molecule: ribosomal RNA, 851 nt
Filed under: Acinetobacter junii
Lineage: Bacteria; Pseudomonadati; Pseudomonadota; Gammaproteobacteria; Moraxellales; Moraxellaceae
Description: bacterial SSU rRNA
Rfam family: Bacterial small subunit ribosomal RNA
Source: RNAcentral
UGCAUUCGAUACUGGGAAGUUAGAGUAUGGGAGAGGGAUGGUAGAAUUCCAGGUGUAGCGGUGAAAUGCGUAGAGAUCUGGAGGAAUACCGAUGGGGAAGGCAGCCAUCUGUCCUAAUACUGACGCUGAGGUACGAAAGCAUGGGGAGCAACACAGGAUUAGAUACCCUGGUAGUCCAUGCCGUAAACGAUGUCUACUAGCCGUUGGGGCCUUUGAGGCUUUAGUGGCGCAGCUAAACGCGAUAAGUAGACCGCCUGGGGAGUACGGUCGCAAGACUAAAACUCAAAUGAAUUGACGGGGGCCCGCACAAGCGGUGGAGCAUGUGGUUUAAUUCGAUGCAACGCGAAGAACCUUACCUGGCCUUGACAUACUAGAAACUUUCCAGAGAUGGAUUGGUGCCUUCGGGAAUCUAGAUACAGGUGCUGCAUGGCUGUCGUCAGCUCGUGUCGUGAGAUGUUGGGUUAAGUCCCGCAACGAGCGCAACCCUUUUCCUUACUUGCCAGCAUUUCGGAUGGGAACUUUAAGGAUACUGCCAGUGACAAACUGGAGGAAGGCGGGGAGGACGUCAAGUCAUCAUGGCCCUUACGGCCAGGGCUACACACGUGCUACAAUGGUCGGUACAAAGGGUUGCUACACAGCGAUGUGAUGCUAAUCUCAAAAAGCCGAUUGUAGUCCGGAUUGGAGUCUGCAACUCGACUCCAUGAAGUCGGAAUCGUUAGUAAUCGCGGAUCAGAAUGCCGCGGUGAAUACGUUCCCGGGCCUUGUACACACCGCCCGUCACGGCCAUGGGAGUUUGUUGCACCAUAAGUAGGUAGUCUAACCGCAAGGAGGACGCUUAACGCAGCCGGGGG